RNAcentral lists this ribosomal RNA (472 nucleotides) under uncultured bacterium. RNAcentral describes it as "SSU rRNA". It matches the Rfam family "Bacterial small subunit ribosomal RNA", at positions 26 to 518 of the family's 1533-position model. The record is from RNAcentral.
AGGACGAACGCUGGCGGCGUGCUUAACACAUGCAAGUCGAGCGGAAAGGCCCUUCGGGGUACUCGAGCGGCGAACGGGUGAGUAACACGUGAGCAACCUGCCCUUAGCUCUGGGAUAGCUCCGGGAAACCGGAAUUAAUACCGGAUAUGACCUAGGCCGACAUCGGCCGUGGUGGAAAGUUUUUCGGCUAGGGAUGGACUCGCGGCCUAUCAGCUAGUUGGUGGGGUAAUGGCCUACCAAGGCGACGACGGGUAGCCGGCCUGAGAGGGCGACCGGCCACACUGGGACUGAGACACGGCCCAGACUCCUACGGGAGGCAGCAGUGGGGAAUCUUGCGCAAUGGGCGAAAGCCUGACGCAGCGACGCCGCGUGGGGGAUGAAGGCCUUCGGGUUGUAAACCCCUUCAGCAGGGACGAAGCGAAGUGACGGUACCUGCAGAAGAAGCGCCGGCUAACUACGCGCCAGCAGCCGC